Molecule: ribosomal RNA, 255 nt
Filed under: uncultured bacterium
Lineage: Bacteria
Description: partial 16S ribosomal RNA
Rfam family: Bacterial small subunit ribosomal RNA
Source: RNAcentral
UACGUAGGGGGCUAGCGUUGUCCGGAUUUAUUGGGCGUAAAGAGCGUGUAGGCGGCAGCGCAAGUCGGGCGUGAAAUCCCACGGCUCAACCGUGGAAGUCGCACUCGAAACUGCGCAGCUAGAGUCCUGGAGAGGAAGGUGGAAUGCUUGGUGUAGAGGUGAAAUUCGUAGAUAUCAGGUGGAACACCAGUGGCGAAGGCGGCUUUCUGGGACGGUAACUGACGCUGAGACGCGAAAGCGUGGGGAGCAAACAGG